RNAcentral lists this ribosomal RNA (517 nucleotides) under Aureobasidium pullulans. RNAcentral describes it as "eukaryotic LSU rRNA". The stretch from base 199 to 352 matches the Rfam family "5.8S ribosomal RNA". The record is from RNAcentral. Lineage: Eukaryota; Fungi; Ascomycota; Dothideomycetes; Dothideales; Saccotheciaceae.
CCUGCGGAAGGAUCAUUAAAGAGUAAGGGUGCUCAGCGCCCGACCUCCAACCCUUUGUUGUUAAAACUACCUUGUUGCUUUGGCGGGACCGCUCGGUUCCGAGCCGCUGGGGAUUCGUCCCAGGCGAGCGCCCGCCAGAGUUAAACCAAACUCUUGUUAUUAAACCGGUCGUCUGAGUUAAAAUUUUGAAUAAAUCAAAACUUUCAACAACGGAUCUCUUGGUUCUCGCAUCGAUGAAGAACGCAGCGAAAUGCGAUAAGUAAUGUGAAUUGCAGAAUUCAGUGAAUCAUCGAAUCUUUGAACGCACAUUGCGCCCCUUGGUAUUCCGAGGGGCAUGCCUGUUCGAGCGUCAUUACACCACUCAAGCUAUGCUUGGUAUUGGGUGCCGUCCUUAGUUGGGCGCGCCUUAAAGACCUCGGCGAGGCCACUCCGGCUUUAGGCGUAGUAGAAUUUAUUCGAACGUCUGUCAAAGGAGAGGAACUCUGCCGAUUGAAACCUUUAUUUUUCUAGGUUGACC